Molecule: non-coding RNA, 2651 nt
Organism: Chiloscyllium plagiosum (whitespotted bambooshark)
Lineage: Eukaryota; Metazoa; Chordata; Chondrichthyes; Orectolobiformes; Hemiscylliidae
Source: RefSeq, a predicted model, not a curated record
CCACUCUAAUUUAGACUCUGGUUUCCAGCAUCUGCAGUCCUUGUUUUUACCUAUUUGACAAAUCAGUCAUUUUGUGAUUUUCAGUAACAAAUAGAUUUGUGGCCCAUUCAUAUGUAAAUGGAGCAACAUCAUGAAAACCUUGGGUGAAAUGAAGCAUAAAAUGCCAUGUUCAUGAGGCUAAAGCUGGAAUGGGGCAAAUCAUGAGGAACUUUGUAGCAAUUUGCCACGCAGUGUCUGCACAUCACCACCAGAUACCAGCCAAUUUGCACAUUAAUCAAAGGGAGGGUCAUUCAGACAACAUUAUUUGUACAGUAAAACCUGCACUCACAAUAUUUUUCUAUUUUCCACUCAGCCUGCCCUCUCUGUUUCCCCAAGGAGAGCAAUUUCCUGAAAGUAUUCGGGAUGAAACACAACUCACUCCUUCCCUCACACACUGACUGGGUGAAGAUGUAAAAUGUUCUGGGAUGAAGUUCAUGUUCCUGAUUAAGGACGGGGGUUCCUCACACCUGUCUCGUACUUUAUCUGAUGGUGAAUAAAGUGCUGCCACUCUCUCUCUCUACUCUCCCUCUAACAGGAGAAAACCGAACACAACCAAAGACAAAGAAGUGACAUCGUGGGAGGAGCUACGACCCUCUGGCCCCUCCCCCCUUUCUGAGGAGGGUUCUCUGGAAUCACUGGGCAGUCAGACGGGGAAAGCAGUGAGAGGCACAGAAGGAGGAUGGGAGGAGCCCGCUCCAGGCCUUCUAAUUUCAUUCACAAACCCACCUGGGGCGUUAUCAAAAGGGAGCUGAAAAUCCAAAUACACCACACCCACUGAUUCCCCUGGAUCAAUGCUAAAAGAAUGCUUUCAGAAUCUACAGAAGUUUGAAAGAUAAUCACCAAUUCAUUCAGUAUCCGUCUGGGCAUCAGUUUUAGUGCUCUGGGAUGAAGCUAACCUGGUCCAGGAAACUUACCAGCCUUCAAUCAACUUAAACAGUUAAUGCUAGAAAAGUUAUGAAUGCUUAUUUCUUUCAGUUGCUCAGUUCCAUACUCUCUUGGUCAGUUUGUAUUUCUGGGAGAUUUUUUUGUGUCUUCUACAAAGGCUGACACAGUAACUAUUUAGUUUCUCUACCUUGUUCUCCAGACUCCAACUGCAAUAUGCCUACAUUUGUUGGAGUAGGUUUUUUUUGGUGGAUUUGUUUCACUCAAAUCAGAGUUUCUCAGCUUCCCAUUCACUUUAAUGUGGUUUUGAAAGCCCCAGCAGCACGAGCAAACUUCCUUGCAAAGAUGUUCGUCUUCUCCAUGCUCUCCCUCUCUCCACAAGAUUCUCCAGGCGCAAGCUCCAUUUUCCUAAUUCUGUGCUGACUCUCAGAUGAGACGGAAGGAAUUCUGAAGUUACUGCACGAGGGAUCCAGCUUUUCAAUCUCGUUUCCAGCUCCCUGAAAUUUGCUGUUCCGACCCAAGUCACAUGCACCACAACCUCCACCAGUUCAGCUUCUCCCACAAGAAUGUCCUGCAAUCACUAGUGACACUGUUGGCCCUGGUACUAGGGAGUAACACUGAAAUGCCAGUCCCCUUAGCAAAUGAAUCCUCUCUCAUUCUCUCCUCUUGUCCAGCAGAACCACCAUAGUGCCAUGAACUUGGCUCUGACUGCUCUCAUAAAGGAAGCACUGCCCUCACCAAUAUCCAAACUAGAAAAUUAAUUACGGUUCUCUUCCUGGUUCUCUGGGACUGUUUGACAGUCGCCGAUGUCCUUCUGUCUACAAAAUCCUAGCCUGCAGUUUGACUACCUCUGUGAACAUGCUAUCCACCUUGAGCUCAGUCCUGCAGAUGCACAUAGUGACUCUAGCUGCCAAUCCAAACUGCAAAGCCCAGAGCUCCGGUUUCUGUGGCUGGUUACAUUACCUGCAUUUGUGGUUGGUCAUGUCACUGAUAGCGUCCAUGACUUCUCACAUACAACAGGACACACAUACCAUGUGACCGAGCUGCCUUACCAUCCCAAGCUAAACAGCUUCUGCAUCUUCUUCCUCGAGAAUACAACCAAUCAGUGCAACACAUUACACUUGCUCAUUGUUGUUUGUAAAGAAAGUAUACUGGCAGGCAUACAGCUCCUGUACCCUAUUAAACUCUCCUCUUCUUCAGUCCUUCAACACAAAAGGAGUAUCUCCAACAGCGAGGCCCUGGGUUUGGGCUUUAACCAAGCCUCAGUUCACUUGAUCCAUCACGACACUUGAGCCUCACAAACAACAGUUUGGAACCACUCCUUUGGGAGGGCUUAGGAGAAUGAAGGAAGGUGAUUCAUAGGCUGGUGAAGAGGAACUUGUCGUGUGGAAGUAGACAUUUGGUUGCUACUUGCUAGAAAGAGAGAGAAAGGCUAUGAUUAUCCUCAAGUGCGAUAGCAAUGAACCUAUAUGUAAUGGGUCCAUCAAUAAGAGGGAUGACUGACAUUCAUCUCGUUGCUCACGUAAGACCUUUUGUUGAAAUUGGCCAUUACAACCAGCUAUAUUUAAAACAAUGAUUUCAUUUUAAUAGUCAAUGAAAAAUUAAGUGUGUUAGGAGGCUCUGAACAUUUCUAAGGAUUAUUUAAGAUUCUGGAAUUAAGUUUGCUCACUGAGCUGGAAGGUUUGUUUUCACAUGUUUCAUCACCUAACUAGGUAACAUCAUCAGUGAGC